AACGAACGCUGGCGGCGUGCUUAACACAUGCAAGUCGCGUGCGCAGUUGCCGUAGCAAUACGGUGAUGGGCGCACGGCGCACGGGUGCGUAACACGUGGGCAAUCUGCCCCUUUGAUGGGGAAUAACCCGCCGAAAGGCGGGCUAAUUCCGCAUAAGAUUCCCGGAACUUCGGUUCUGGGAUUGAAAGCAGCAAUGCGUCGAAGGAGGAGCCCGCGCCCGAUUAGCUAGUUGGUGAGGUAACGGCUCACCAAGGCUAUGAUCGGUAGCUG
RNAcentral lists this ribosomal RNA (270 nucleotides) under uncultured bacterium. Its description in RNAcentral is "partial 16S ribosomal RNA". It matches the Rfam family "Bacterial small subunit ribosomal RNA", at positions 29 to 289 of the family's 1533-position model. The record is from RNAcentral.